This 1132-nucleotide long non-coding RNA is filed under the name Medicago truncatula (barrel medic). RNAcentral describes it as "lncRNA gene29735". Lineage: Eukaryota; Viridiplantae; Streptophyta; Magnoliopsida; Fabales; Fabaceae. The record is from RNAcentral.
GUAGUUUUUAUUUUUAUUUUUUAAAUAUCAUAUCAUUCACUUCAAAGUUAAAAAUUAUUCUUUUGAAAUAUGAAGAUCCGUUUAAAAAGCUAACAUUUCUCAACAGACGCUCUUUCAUAUGUACCAACUCGAUUAGAUAUCAUACUUGUAUAGUUACGAGAUAUAGUUAUUUAUAAACCGUAUCGUGUCAUAUUAUAUUGGUAGAUGAAAUAAUAUAAUAUACUGUAUAAUUUGUCUAACAAGACUAGUUGCAUGAUUAGGAGACGUGCCUAAUCAUGUCCUUAUCUUUUUGUCCUUAAAGUAACCAAAAAUAGAGUUGCAAAGGUGUUAUAUCUACUUGUUUUAAUAUGUUUAAUUCUGCAAAUGAUACAUCACAAAUUAUAUAUAUAUAAUAGAUUAAGUGUGUAGGUACAUGUAUCUUCUAUAGCAACCAUAGACUCAUUUAGAGGAUCACUUUAAUAUCUACACUGUAAUCACACUAACUAGUUGAAUAAGUUGCAUUGUCAAGAAAAAAUAAUUAGUUCAAUAGGUUAAACCAAUGUGAUUAUAAUUAGAUCAGAUCAGCUUUUUGAAUCGGAAUAGGGGUCUGAUCUGGCUCAUGCAGUCCAUGAGAAACUACCAUAAUGUGAUUAUUUACUCGAUGGCAUAUUAACCAAUUUGAUUCUAAGACUUUCACCCAAAACAUUGCUCUCAAUUCAAGUAGAUUGUGAUAUGUAAUGGCCGGAGUUUGAACUCUAAAUUUCUUAUGCGUUUGAUUUGUUAAAAAAUAAGGAUAGGAUAUGACAACUUCAAUUGUAAGGUGUUUAAUUUGUAAAAUUGUUUUUGGAACAUGACAAACUAGAGGUCAGAGAUUGGACGAAAACUGAAAUUCUUGACCCUCACUAAGCCACGACACAACUUUUUGUCUCACGUACACGUUGUCUAAAAUAUCAAAAAGUUUUUUGUCCAUAAAAAUUUGUAUAAUACCAAAAUAGUUUUUUUUUCAUAAAAAGUUGUCAUGUGUUGUUCUGCUUUGUGUUAUGAUGUUAUGUUCAAUACUUUUGGUUUAACAUAUCAAACGCACCCUUAAAGAUGAAUUUCUAGUAAUUAUGUUACGUGACCGGAAAAAAAAAACUUUCACCCAAAAUAUUGC